RNAcentral lists this ribosomal RNA (483 nucleotides) under uncultured bacterium. RNAcentral's name for it is "partial 16S ribosomal RNA". It matches the Rfam family "Bacterial small subunit ribosomal RNA", at positions 29 to 506 of the family's 1533-position model. The record is from RNAcentral.
AUUGAACGCUGGCGGAAUGCUUUACACAUGCAAGUCGAGCGGCAGCGCGGCCUUCGGGCUGGCGGCGAGCGGCGAACGGGUGAGUAAUGCAUCGGAACAUGCCCAGUCGCGGGGGAUAACACUUCGAAAGAAGUGCUAAUACCGCAUACGUCCUGAGGGGGAAAGCGGGGGAUCGCAAGACCUCGCGCGAUUGGAGUGGCCGAUGUCAGAUUAGCUAGUUGGUGGGGUAAAGGCCUACCAAGGCGACGAUCUGUAGCUGGUCUGAGAGGAUGAUCAGCCACACUGGGACUGAGACACGGCCCAGACUCCUACGGGAGGCAGCAGUGGGGAAUUUUGGACAAUGGGGGCAACCCUGAUCCAGCCAUUCCGCGUGAGUGAAGAAGGCCUUCGGGUUGUAAAGCUCUUUCGGCAGGAACGAAACGGUGGGCUCUAACAUAGUCCGCUAAUGACGGUACCUGAAGAAGAAGCACCGGCUAACUACGU